AGACACCUGCGGUGUACGGAACGCGGAGAAUGCGUAAUCCACAUUAUUUUUUCGGGAGCGCCCGUUGGUUGCGAUAGGCAAGGUCUGUUUUACGGAAAGUCUGAAGCGCAAACACCGCGCACCCACCUGCUGAAAGCGGGUUCAUACUUUUUUCGCGUUGCGGCACAGGCGGAUGUCUU
Molecule: non-coding RNA, 179 nt
Filed under: Clostridia bacterium
Lineage: Bacteria; Bacillati; Bacillota; Clostridia
Description: 6S RNA
Rfam family: 6S / SsrS RNA
About the family: E. coli 6S RNA was the first non coding RNA to be sequenced, but its function was unknown until recently.
Source: RNAcentral